This 237-nucleotide ribosomal RNA is filed under the name Triticum aestivum (bread wheat). RNAcentral describes it as "partial small subunit ribosomal RNA". Lineage: Eukaryota; Viridiplantae; Streptophyta; Magnoliopsida; Poales; Poaceae. The record is from RNAcentral.
AUGGCGUCAUCACACAAGUUCUUCCCGGCCGUCCUCCUCCUCCUGCUGCUAGUUGUCACCAUGGAGGUGGCACCGGCGCAGGCAGAGGAGGGGAGGGUGUGCGAGACGGAUAGCACUCGGUUCAAGGGGAUAUGCAUGGUUGGCACAAACUGCGCCAAUAUUUGCCUCACCGAGGGCUUCACCAGCGGCAAGUGCUCCGGCUUGAAGAGGAAGUGCAUUUGCACCAAACCAUGCUAG